CUGGUGUAGAAGCUUGGAAAGCCUGCCAGAGUCCAGGCAUGGGGAAUUCUGGGAGUUGAAGUCCACCAAGGUGGGGGUGUGGGGGGGCGAAACCUGAUUUA
Non-coding RNA from Notechis scutatus (mainland tiger snake), 101 nucleotides. Lineage: Eukaryota; Metazoa; Chordata; Lepidosauria; Squamata; Elapidae. The record is from RefSeq and is a predicted model, not a curated record.